Small nucleolar RNA from Mus pahari (shrew mouse), 140 nucleotides. RefSeq annotates it as small nucleolar RNA SNORA48. The record is from RefSeq and is a predicted model, not a curated record. The transcript has a single exon. Lineage: Eukaryota; Metazoa; Chordata; Mammalia; Rodentia; Muridae.
CACCACCAGCAGUGGGCAAAGGGACACCUUGUCGAUGGUGUUGUUCUUAUACCAGGGGCAAAGCAGACAGCAGUCCUUUGUUCAAUCUAGCUUGAUUCUUGGCUUGUUGGCUGAGGCUGUUUUAUGCCUAGGACAAAUAA